RNAcentral lists this long non-coding RNA (430 nucleotides) under Olea europaea (common olive). Its description in RNAcentral is "long non-coding RNA (OEUR_LNC011990)". Lineage: Eukaryota; Viridiplantae; Streptophyta; Magnoliopsida; Lamiales; Oleaceae. The record is from RNAcentral.
UUUUUUCUUUUGCUUAUCGAGACAUUAGAUUUAAUGGUGGUAUUGGUCUGAUUUGGAGCAUGCUUAGGCGUGCUUAAAAUUUAUUCUUCUUUAAAAAGAACGUAAGUUUAGUCUGUUAAUAAAAUUGCAAAAGGCAUUUUAAGGACAAUUUUGCUAUACCUUGGAGUCUAUUAUGCUUUGGUGGAUGAGUUGUGUGCAGUCAAUCGUGCAAUAGAUUUUGGUCGUGUGCGGAUUUUAAGAUUUCGCAAGAUUAAAGUAUCAACAUAUGCUUGCUACGUCUCUAUCCACCAGUUGAAUAUUUUGCACACUUAGCAUUGUUAUGUAACAAUUUUCAUAUAAAAGAGUGUUUCGAUCAUUAUUUGCACUUAGAUAGUUAAAUUAGUGUUGAAAAAUAUAAGCACACGAGAAAUAAAAUGUACAAAGAUAUGAC